This 432-nucleotide ribosomal RNA is filed under the name uncultured bacterium. RNAcentral's name for it is "bacterial SSU rRNA". It matches the Rfam family "Bacterial small subunit ribosomal RNA", at positions 1 to 404 of the family's 1533-position model. The record is from RNAcentral.
GACUACCUGGUCUCGCGAAUGCCUUAGAUUUAAGUUUGAUCAUGGCUCAGAGCGAACGCUGUUCGGUAGGCCUAACACAUGCAAGUCGAACGGCAGCACAGGAGAGCUUGCUCUCUGGGUGGCGAGUGGCGGACGGGUGAGGAAUACAUCGGAAUCUACUCUGUCGUGGGGGAUAACGUAGGGAAACUUACGCUAAUACCGCAUACGACCUACGGGUGAAAGCAGGGGAUCUUCGGACCUUGCGCGAUUGAAUGAGCCGAUGUCGGAUUAGCUAGUUGGCGGGGUAAAGGCCCACCAAGGCGACGAUCCGUAGCUGGUCUGAGAGGAUGAUCAGCCACACUGGAACUGAGACACGGUCCAGACUCCUACGGGAGGCAGCAGUAGGGGAAUAUUGGACAACUNGGGCGCAGGCCUGAUCCAGCCAUCCGCUGG